UCCUACGGGGGGCAGCAGUGAGGAAUAUUGGUCAAUGGGCGGGAGCCUGAACCAGCCAAGUCGCGUGAGGGACGACGGUCCUAUGGAUUGUAAACCUCUUUUGUCGGGAAACAAAGGCGUCCACGGGUGGGCGGAUGAGUGUACCCGAAGAAAAAGCAUCGGCUAACUCCGUGCCAGCAGCCGCGGUAAUACGGAAGGUCCGGGCGUUAUCCGGAUUUAUUGGGUUUAAAGGGAGCGUAGGCCGGCUUUUAAGUCAGCUGUGAAAGUCCGCGGCUCAACCGUGGAAUUGCAGUUGAAACUGGAGG
RNAcentral lists this ribosomal RNA (305 nucleotides) under uncultured bacterium. RNAcentral describes it as "bacterial SSU rRNA". It matches the Rfam family "Bacterial small subunit ribosomal RNA", at positions 337 to 639 of the family's 1533-position model. The record is from RNAcentral.